Molecule: ribosomal RNA, 341 nt
Filed under: Salmonella enterica
Lineage: Bacteria; Pseudomonadati; Pseudomonadota; Gammaproteobacteria; Enterobacterales; Enterobacteriaceae
Description: partial 23S ribosomal RNA
Rfam family: Bacterial large subunit ribosomal RNA
Source: RNAcentral
GGUUAAGCGACUAAGCGUACACGGUGGAUGCCCUGGCAGUCAGAGGCGAUGAAGGACGUGCUAAUCUGCGAUAAGCGCCGGUAAGGUGAUAUGAACCGUUAUAACCGGCGAUUUCCGAAUGGGGAAACCCAGUGUGACUCGUCACACUAUCAUUAACUGAAUCCAUAGGUUAAUGAGGCGAACCGGGGGAACUGAAACAUCUAAGUACCCCGAGGAAAAGAAAUCAACCGAGAUUCCCCCAGUAGCGGCGAGCGAACGGGGAGGAGCCCAGAGCCUGAAUCAGCAUGUGUGUUAGUGGAAGCGUCUGGAAAGGCGCGCGAUACAGGGUGACAGCCCCGUAC